RNAcentral lists this unclassified non-coding RNA (195 nucleotides) under soil metagenome. Its description in RNAcentral is "partial contains small subunit ribosomal RNA, internal transcribed spacer 1, and 5.8S ribosomal RNA". The record is from RNAcentral.
UCUCCGUAGGUGAACCUGCGGAGGGAUCAUUAAUGAAAAUGGCCUUUGGGCCGUUAGCCCUCAAACCCGUGGAAGCAAGAUGUGCUUCGGCGCCCGGCCCCCUCAGGGGGCGGCCGCCGCAUUUAUGCUGUUUAGUGGUUGUGUCUGAAUUGGAAACUAAAUCAAAAACUUUCAACAACGGAUCUCUUGGCUCUU